This 349-nucleotide ribosomal RNA is filed under the name Uroplectes fischeri. RNAcentral's name for it is "partial large subunit ribosomal RNA". The stretch from base 79 to 349 matches the Rfam family "Bacterial large subunit ribosomal RNA", at positions 2048 to 2561 of the family's 2925-position model. Lineage: Eukaryota; Metazoa; Arthropoda; Arachnida; Scorpiones; Buthidae. The record is from RNAcentral.
UUAGUCUUAUAAUUUAAGGCUGGAAUGAAAGAGAAAACCAAGAAAAUACUUUUUUAAAAUUAAUUAUUGAAUUUUACUUUUUAGUGAAAAGGCUAAAAUUUAUCUUUUAGACAAGAAGACCCUAUAAAUCUUUACAUUAGAAGUUUUGAAAACUUAAAUAUGUUUUAUUGGGGUGAUAAAGAAAGAAAACGUUCUUUUCUGUUAUUAACAUAUUCGUAAUAAUAACCAAAAAUUUUGAAUAAUAAACAAGUUACUUUAGGGAUAACAGCGUAAUUUAUUUAAAAAGUUCUUAUUGACAAAUAAGUUUGCGACCUCGAUGUUGGAUUAGGAUUCCUUUCUUGUAUAGAAG